CAUUAUCGUUGUUCGAAGUAUCACUUUACAUUGACUUAUACGAUCUUGUUUCAAGCUAUCCAAUAAAAUUUCGUGAUAUACCGCAUCCUACAAAUACGAAUUUUCAAUUAGCUAAUGAAAGGAUAAUCGCAUGGUGUUAACUAAAUUUUUGAUAUCGCGACACCAAUCUUUGUUGCGCUCGAGUCCAUGGCACGUCUUUCUCUUCCUUGUAAAUAUUGCACAGCUCUGCGUGUUCUACCUAUAUCAUGUACAUACAAUAUGUAUUUAGGUCGUUGGACGAAACAUACUUGUAGUUCGAAACAUCGUUUCAUCUUUUGUUUCUUCUCGUAACGAAGCUUAUCUAAUUGACAGCGUUUCCUAUGGUUUUCCUCGCAAAUAGAUUCACAAAUGUGCUACGCGGGAGCAACGAAAAAGCCUAUCGUGAAAUGUUUGAGCCGUUUGGACCGUAUAAAUAAUAAUAAUCGAAUAAUAAAAUAAGAGGAAAAAGGAUUUACUUCUA
This is a long non-coding RNA of Bombus huntii, 499 nucleotides long. RefSeq lists it as uncharacterized. Lineage: Eukaryota; Metazoa; Arthropoda; Insecta; Hymenoptera; Apidae. The record is from RefSeq and is a predicted model, not a curated record. The transcript has 3 exons.